GACCUCUUCCGAUCUGGGAAUCUGACUGUUUAAUUAAAACAAAGCAUUGCGAGGGCCCGCGGUGGGUGUUGACUCAAUGUGAUUUCUGCCCAGUGCUCUGAAUGUCAAAGUGAAGAAA
Molecule: non-coding RNA, 118 nt
Organism: Gasterosteus aculeatus aculeatus (three-spined stickleback)
Lineage: Eukaryota; Metazoa; Chordata; Actinopteri; Perciformes; Gasterosteidae
Source: RefSeq, a predicted model, not a curated record